Molecule: ribosomal RNA, 484 nt
Filed under: uncultured bacterium
Lineage: Bacteria
Description: partial 16S ribosomal RNA
Rfam family: Bacterial small subunit ribosomal RNA
Source: RNAcentral
AUUGAACGCUAGCGGGAUGCUUUACACAUGCAGGUCGAACGGCAGCGCGGACUUCGGUCUGGCGGCGAGUGGCGAACGGGUGAGUAAUGUAUCGGAACGUGCCCAGUAGCGGGGGAUAACUACGCGAAAGCGUAGCUAAUACCGCAUACGCCCUACGGGGGAAAGCAGGGGAUCGUAAGACCUUGCACUAUUGGAGCGGCCGAUAUCGGAUUAGCUAGUUGGUGAGGUAACGGCUCACCAAGGCGACGAUCCGUAGCUGGUUUGAGAGGACGACCAGCCACACUGGGACUGAGACACGGCCCAGACUCCUACGGGAGGCAGCAGUGGGGAAUUUUGGACAAUGGGGGCAACCCUGAUCCAGCCAUCCCGCGUGUGCGAUGAAGGCCUUCGGGUUGUAAAGCACUUUUGGCAGGAAAGAAACGUCGCGGGCUAAUACCCCGUGGAACUGACGGUACCUGUAGAAUAAGCACCGGCUAACUACGUG